Molecule: RNA transcript, 1560 nt
Organism: Gossypium arboreum
Lineage: Eukaryota; Viridiplantae; Streptophyta; Magnoliopsida; Malvales; Malvaceae
Exons: 8
Source: RefSeq, a predicted model, not a curated record
UACUGCUGUAUUCCAUUAUAGCCUUAUGCAGGGAAUAUUGAGCAUUUCUAUUCCCUCUUUUCCCCACCGAAUGGCUCAUUCGUUGUUUAGAAAAAUCAAUUUUAGCCUUCCCAAUUUCUCACCUAAUAAAUCUCAGACUCAGCCCGAUCGACAGUCACUCCCUUCUUUCCUUCAAGUUCGGCAGAGGGAAAAAUAGGCAGGUAGCCAAGCAAGCAUAAUGUUUGAGUGAUAAUGCGUCUUCCUUUCCACAAUCAACACUUCCAUCUCCUCCUUCGCAAUCUCUCCUCUUUUGCCUCCAAAACUACCAUUUUCAUGACCUCUAAGCACUUCCUCCCUUCCCCUCUGCUGUCUCAAACCCUUUCUUCUAAACACUACUCCACCCCCUAAACACCUCUUUCCCUCUCUUUCUUCCAAACCCAUCCCCAAAAACCAUUCUUUCUGGCUCAAGACUAGUGGGUUUUCUUCUCUUCCUUCUCCUGUUUCUUCUCCCUCUCCAAGAGUUUUUAUUUUUUGUAAAUACAAGGAAAAAGGGAUUACCUCUGCCGAAAUGAAGAAAGGUGAUCUUUUCUUGGUUGAUGUUAAUACCCAGCUGAAGUCUAGGAAUGUUACACCUGAUAUUAAAGUGGACAUCAGCUCCAAUUAGUUAACAUUAACUUUGCAGCAAUUAUAAAAGUUUGGGGUUUUGCUUGAUCUCUUUCAGUUAAAGAAGAUAAUGGACAAGAGGAGAAAUAGUAAAUGCGGCCAACGAUCAAGAAGAGGCAUUCUACUUGAUGAUGAUGAUGAUGAUGAUGCUGCUAGAGGUGAUUGCACAAUUUCCAGGGUCUACGCAAGACUCUUCAUGAUUACUUCAUAGAUUUGUCAGGAAAAAAGGGCAUCGAUGAGAGAGGAAGCACUUUCAACAAUUCUCAAGGCUUUAACUCUCAACAUCAAGCAAAAAUUUGUAGAGCUGAAGAAGGCAUUACUUCCUUUUCAGGGGUUUUAUAUAAAUGUGUAAAGGAUAAAUAACUUCACAUUAAAGAAUUUAGUAGUCAGAAUUUCAUUCUCAAGAACUUUGUAACACUAGUGUAUCAAUGCUUGCAUUUCAUUAAAAAGGGUUCGCCUACAAAAAUGAAGCAAGCAGCACAUAUUAUUGGAUUGUUGUCAAUGGUUACUACUUCUGUUGAGAAGGUGCACGAAGCAUAUGAAGAUGUGAUGACUGCACUUUCCCAGGGAGGACUAAAAUCUAAGACCUUGGAGAUUCUUCAUUGCUUGGCUGUUGUUACAUUUUUCGGUGCAAGCAACCCGAAUGAGACUGAAUUAGUAAUGAAGUUACUUUGGGACAUUAUUAAUCCUGGAACUAACUCUAGUGUAUGAAUUUUAACUGAUAUUUUUAUCUAUAUAUUUUGUAAUUUUCUUAAUCAAUUCCUAAACUUAGUUAACUGUAAAUUGGAGCCUAAAAGAAUAGGUUUCCUUCAAUGUACCAUUUCUUUUAAAAUGUAUUUGUUGUGUGUCAACUAUAAUGAACAUAACUUGAGAAGCAAUGGAUUCAAAUAAUAAUGUAUUAUUUUGUAGUAAAUGAAA